AUGAAACACUCCUACGGGAGGCAGCAGUGGGGAAUAUUGCACAAUGGGCGCAAGCCUGAUGCAGCGACGCCGCGUGGGGGAUGACGGCCUUCGGGUUGUAAACUCCUUUCGCCAGGGACGAAGCGUUUUGUGACGGUACCUGGAGAAGAAGCACCGGCUAACUACGUGCCAGCAGCCGCGGUAAUACGUAGGGUGCAAGCGUUGUCCGGAAUUACUGGGCGUAAAGAGCUCGUAGGUGGUUUGUCACGUCGUCUGUGAAAUUCCACAGCUUAACUGUGGGCGUGCAGGCGAUACGGGCUGACUUGAGUACUGUAGGGGUAACUGGAAUUCCUGGUGUAGCGGUGAAAUGCGCAGAUAUCAGGAGGAACACCGAUGGCGAAGGCAGGUUACUGGGCAGUUACUGACGCUGAGGAGCGAAAGCAUGGGUAGCAAACAGGAUUAGAAACCCCAGUAGUCCGAAGUUC
Molecule: ribosomal RNA, 464 nt
Filed under: uncultured bacterium
Lineage: Bacteria
Description: bacterial SSU rRNA
Rfam family: Bacterial small subunit ribosomal RNA
Source: RNAcentral